UGGGGGAUAUUGCACAAUGGAGGAAACCCUGAUGUAGCAACGCCGCGUGAGGGAAGAAGGUCUUCGGAUUGUAAACCUCAGUAGUCAGGGACGAAAGAAAUGACGGUACCUGAAGAGUAAGCUCCGGCUAACUACGUGCCAGCAGCCGCGGUAAUACGUAGGGAGCGAGCGUUGUCCGGAUUUACUGGGUGUACAGGGUGCGUAGGCGGGAUAGCAAGUCAGACGUGAAAUACCGAGGCUUAACUUCGGGGCUGCGUUUGAAACUGUUAUUCUUGAGUGAAGUAGAGGCAGGCGGGAUUCCUAGUGUAGCGGUGAAAUGCAUAGAUAUUAGGAAGAACACCAGUGGCGAAGGCGGCCUGCUGGGCUUUAACUGACGCUGAGGCACGA
RNAcentral lists this ribosomal RNA (387 nucleotides) under uncultured bacterium. RNAcentral's name for it is "bacterial SSU rRNA". It matches the Rfam family "Bacterial small subunit ribosomal RNA", at positions 355 to 756 of the family's 1533-position model. The record is from RNAcentral.